RNAcentral lists this ribosomal RNA (470 nucleotides) under Pseudomonas aeruginosa. RNAcentral's name for it is "bacterial SSU rRNA". It matches the Rfam family "Bacterial small subunit ribosomal RNA", at positions 30 to 494 of the family's 1533-position model. Lineage: Bacteria; Pseudomonadati; Pseudomonadota; Gammaproteobacteria; Pseudomonadales; Pseudomonadaceae. The record is from RNAcentral.
AUUGAACGCUGGCGGCAGGCCUAACACAUGCAAGUCGAGCGGAUGAAGGGAGCUUGCUCCUGGAUUCAGCGGCGGACGGGUGAGUAAUGCCUAGGAAUCUGCCUGGUAGUGGGGGAUAACGUCCGGAAACGGGCGCUAAUACCGCAUACGUCCUGAGGGAGAAAGUGGGGGAUCUUCGGACCUCACGCUAUCAGAUGAGCCUAGGUCGGAUUAGCUAGUUGGUGGGGUAAAGGCCUACCAAGGCGACGAUCCGUAACUGGUCUGAGAGGAUGAUCAGUCACACUGGAACUGAGACACGGUCCAGACUCCUACGGGAGGCAGCAGUGGGGAAUAUUGGACAAUGGGCGAAAGCCUGAUCCAGCCAUGCCGCGUGUGUGAAGAAGGUCUUCGGAUUGUAAAGCACUUUAAGUUGGGAGGAAGGGCAGUAAGUUAAUACCUUGCUGUUUUGACGUACCAACAGAAUAAGCUCU